UACGGGAGGCAGCAGUGGGGAAUAUUGCACAAUGGGCGCAAGCCUGAUGCAGCAACGCCGCGUGAGGGAAGACGGUCUUCGGAUUGUAAACCUUUGUCUUUGGUGAAGAAGAAAGUGACGGUAGCCAAGGAGGAAGCCACGGCUAACUACGUGCCAGCAGCCGCGGUAAUACGUAGGUGGCAAGCGUUGUCCGGAAUUACUGGGUGUAAAGGGAGCGCAGGCGGGACAGCAAGUUGGAUGUGAAAUACCGAGGCUUAACCACGGAGCUGCAUCCAAAACUGUUGUUCUUGAGUGAAGUAGAGGUAGGCGGAAUUCCGAGUGUAGCGGUGAAAUGCGUAGAUAUUCGGAGGAACACCAGUGGCGAAGGCGGCCUACUGGGCUUUAACUGACGCUGAGGCUCGAAAGUGUGGGGAGCAAACAGGAUUAGAUACCCUGGUAGUCCACACUGUAAACGAUGAUUGCUAGGUGUGGGGGGUCUGACCCCCUCCGUGCCGGAGUUAACGCAAUAAGCAAUCCACCUGGGGAGUACGGCCGCAAGGUUGCAACUCAAAGGAAUUGACGG
This 562-nucleotide ribosomal RNA is filed under the name uncultured Bacillota bacterium. RNAcentral's name for it is "bacterial SSU rRNA". It matches the Rfam family "Bacterial small subunit ribosomal RNA", at positions 340 to 916 of the family's 1533-position model. The record is from RNAcentral. Lineage: Bacteria; Bacillati; Bacillota.